UUUCCGUAGGUGAACCUGCGGAAGGAUCAUUAUUGAAUAAACCUGAUGUGGUUGAAGCUGGCUCUCUCGGGAGCAUGUGCACGCCCGUCGUCUUUAUAUCUCCACCUGUGCACUUUUUGUAGACCUUGAUAUAACACCUUCCGAGGAAACUCGGUCGGGAGGAAUGCCGUGCGUCAAUGCCGGCUUUCCUUGAAUGUCCUGUCUAUGUUUUCACAUACCCCAAAGAAUGUAACAGAAUGUAUCAUUGGGCCUUGUGCCUAUAAACUAAAUACAACUUUCAGCAACGGAUCUCUUGGCUCUC
Molecule: unclassified non-coding RNA, 301 nt
Filed under: plant metagenome
Description: partial contains small subunit ribosomal RNA, internal transcribed spacer 1, and 5.8S ribosomal RNA
Source: RNAcentral